UACGUAGGAGGCAAGCGUUGUCCGGAUUUACUGGGCGUAAAGAGCGUGUAGGCGGUUGGGCAAGUCCGCUGUGAAAUCUCCAGGCUCAACCUGGAGGGGUCGGUGGAAACUGCUCAACUUGAGGACGGUAGAGGGGGGUGGAAUUCCCGGUGUAGUGGUGAAAUGCGUAGAGAUCGGGAGGAACACCAGCGGCGAAGGCGGCCCCCUGGGCCGCUCCUGACGCUGAGACGCGAAGGCCAGGGUAGCGAACGGG
This 253-nucleotide ribosomal RNA is filed under the name uncultured bacterium. RNAcentral describes it as "partial 16S ribosomal RNA". It matches the Rfam family "Bacterial small subunit ribosomal RNA", at positions 524 to 776 of the family's 1533-position model. The record is from RNAcentral.